This 194-nucleotide ribosomal RNA is filed under the name uncultured Veillonellaceae bacterium. RNAcentral describes it as "partial 16S ribosomal RNA". Lineage: Bacteria; Bacillati; Bacillota; Negativicutes; Veillonellales; Veillonellaceae. The record is from RNAcentral.
GGAGUAUGGACCGUGUCUCAGUUCCAUUGUGGCCGUUCAUCCUCUCAGACCGGCUACCGAUCGUCGCCUUGGUAGGCUUUUACCCUACCAACUAGCUAAUCGGACGCAGGCUCCUCGCAAAGCGAUAAAUCUUUAGUGUAAAGUUCAUGCAAACCCUACACAACAUCCGGUAUUAGCGUCCCUUUCGGGACGUU